Molecule: ribosomal RNA, 460 nt
Filed under: uncultured bacterium
Lineage: Bacteria
Description: partial 16S ribosomal RNA
Rfam family: Bacterial small subunit ribosomal RNA
Source: RNAcentral
CCUACGGGGGGCAGCAGUGAGGAAUAUUGGUCAAUGGACGAGAGUCUGAACCAGCCAAGUAGCGUGAAGGAUGACUGCCCUAUGGGUUGUAAACUUCUUUUAUAAAGGAAUAAAACGAGGCAUGUAUGCCUCUUUGCAUGUACUUUAUGAAUAAGGAUCGGCUAACUCCGUGCCAGCAGCCGCGGUAAUACGGAGGAUCCGAGCGUUAUCCGGAUUUAUUGGGUUUAAAGGGAGCGUAGAUGGGUUGUUAAGUCAGUUGUGAAAGUUUGCGGCUCAACCGUAAAAUUGCAGUUGAUACUGGCAGUCUUGAGUACAGUUGAGGUAGGCGGAAUUCGUGGUGUAGCGGUGAAAUGCUUAGAUAUCACGAAGAACCCCGAUUGCGAAGGCAGCUUACUAAACUGUAACUGACGUUGAUGCUCGAAAGUGUGGGUAUCAAACAGGAUUAGAUACCCUUGUAGUC